RNAcentral lists this ribosomal RNA (252 nucleotides) under uncultured bacterium. RNAcentral's name for it is "partial 16S ribosomal RNA". It matches the Rfam family "Bacterial small subunit ribosomal RNA", at positions 524 to 776 of the family's 1533-position model. The record is from RNAcentral.
UACGUAGGGUGCAAGCGUUAAUCGGAAUUACUGGGCGUAAAGCGUGCGCAGGCGGUUAUGCAAGACAGAUGUGAAAUCCCCGGGCUUAACCUGGGAACCGCAUUUGUGACUGCAUAGCUGGAGUACGGCAGAGGGGGAUGGAAUUCCGCGUGUAGCAGUGAAAUGCGUAGAUAUGCGGAGGAACACCGAUGGCGAAGGCAGUCCCUGGGCCUGUACUGACGCUGAGGAGCGAAAGCGUGGGUAGCAAACGGG